RNA transcript from Falco peregrinus (peregrine falcon), 3392 nucleotides. It is a transcript of the gene named establishment of sister chromatid cohesion N-acetyltransferase 2, with no coding region annotated. The record is from RefSeq and is a predicted model, not a curated record. The transcript has 15 exons. NCBI's taxonomy places the organism in Eukaryota, Metazoa, Chordata, Aves, Falconiformes, Falconidae.
GAAGGCGCGGGAGUGUUGGCGCGGUGUAGUGCUGGGGGAGCGCGGCCGGGAAGGAGGUCGAGUGCUUGCGGGGGAUCUGGUGGUGAGGGUCUGGUGCCGUGUUGAGGGAACUGUAAGGAUUGCUCACUGCUAUGCGUGUGCCUUGACUCUCCUGCCAGCACUGUGUCCUUGUCGUCUUCCUUUCACCUGCACCUGCUAUCUUAUCCCAGGCACUCUGGUGAAAACAUGGCAGGUGUUACCCCGCAGAAAAGGAGACGUAGUUCUACUGAUACCGAUGGUUCAUCCUUAGCCUUUGAGACUCCUGUGAAAAAAAUGAUGAUAGGCUUUGCAGGAGGUCUGUCUCCACGCAAAAAAUCAAGAAAUAAAUUGUUUGCUUCUCAAAUAAAAUGGUCACCUAGCUCCAGUGAUGAGAUGAAGGAAAAAGACGCUGUGUUAGUGAAGCCGGUGCUGUCAAGGAGGCUGGAUAUUUCACCCCUUCAGGCAGCCAGCGAUCCCACAGCCACGCAGAGGGAGCCCUUGAGGAAAUUAUCCCCAAAAAACACUUCCUUGUGCAAGCCCUUUGUGCCUGCAGCGUCUUUUUACAGCAAGGACAAGCGAUACCUUACUCCUCUUGAGAGAAAACAACUGAAUGAGAACCACUUUUUGGGUGAGAGGAACAGGGAUGAAAAUCUCCCAGCUGUCAGCAGGACUGAAAAGACAAACAAGAACUCAAGCAGGAAUAAAAGUGCAAAGCCAACCAAGCACACAACAAACUCCAAGCAUGGCAGAACUGUCCCCAAAGUACUUAAGAAGGCAAAGAGAGAGGUACCAGUGGGAAAACCCAGUGUGGAGAAAAAGAAUGUCAGUUGCCUAAUUAAAAAGAAGAUGGAUUCACCCUUCAGAGUCCUAAGCAUGACAGUUAAACCAGCCCUGAAACUCCAGUUGGGAGCAGCGUUCUUCUCUGCCAGGAAGAAAUCACACUCUAAAAAACCACUUGUAGACACCAAGCCUCUUCAUGGUCUCCCCAAAUCUCUGCAAGAAAAUGAUCAGCCCAGGCCACCGACAACUGCAAAAUCUAUUUCAGUUGAUGGAAACAAAAUUCUUGAGGCGGGCAGUAUAUUGAGAACUAUUUCUGUGCCUCAGAAGAAGGAAAAUAAAAACAGGGAGGACUUUACAAGCUGUGUAGAUCGAGAGAGAGAUUCGGCAUGCAAAGGAACAGCAUCUCCGCAGAAAAGCGGAAGCACCUCUGGUCCGUUUUGUGCUUCUGAAUCUGCAGCUGCAGGAGACAGCAACGCAGAGAACAUGGAUGUUGGUGAUACCAGUUCUUCUGCAAGCUGGGAGUCAGAUGAUUGCAUUAUUUUUUCAAGCCAAUCUCCACAUAAGGUGAAUAAACAAGCAUCUCCUUCAAAUGCUGUUGUCUACCCCAUAUUCAGUGCACCCCCUGCCAGCAAGAAAAGGAUGCAGGCUAUACAGGAUGAACAAACUUCUUUAUUUGGGUCCAGCCCACCUGCAAAACCAUCUCUCACCUCGCAGAAGAGCAAGAAGGCGAAAGAGCUCUGCAAGCACUCCAGAGAUCAGAUGAUCAUUGACGCAGGUCAGAAGCAUUUUGGUGCCGUGAUUUGCAAGUCAUGCGGCAUGAUCUACACUGCUGCUAGCCUGGAGGAUGAAGCCCAGCACAUCCAGCACCAUGAGAGAUUCCUCGAGGGACUCAGAUACAUGGGUUGGAAGAAUGAAAGGGUUGUGGCAGAGUUCUGGGAUGGGAAAAUUGUAUUGAUUCUUCCAAAUGACCCAAAAUAUGCCGUCAAGAAGGCAGAAGAUGUGCGAGAAAUUGUAGAUAAUGAAUUGGGAUUUAAGCAAGUUUCUUUGGGGUGCCCGGCCAAGACUAAAACGUACUUGUUUGUGUCCAAUGAGAAGAUGAUUGUUGGGUGCUUAGUGGCUGAAUCAAUCAAGCAGGCUUUCCGGGUGCUGUCAGAGCCAGGAGCCGUGCCGUCCCCCGUCCAGGAUGCCCUGCAGCACCACCGGGCUUGGCGCUGCUCCACGGAGCCGGAGCCCUGCAUCUGUGGCAUCAGCAGGAUCUGGGUGUUCAGCCUGAAGCGCAGGAAGGGCAUCGCCAGGCACAUGGUGGACGUGGUCAGGAGCACGUUCAUGUAUGGCUGCUACCUGAGCACGGAUGAAAUCGCCUUCUCCGACCCAACACCGGAUGGCAAGCUGUUUGCAACAAGAUACUGCCAAACUCCCAACUUCCUCGUUUACAAUUUUAUUUUUAACAACUGAUUUGACUUGGUUAUUACAAGUUGGGGUUUGUUGAAAUAAUCUAAAGAUAAGUUAGAUAUUUAAAAUAACACAGAAGUGUUGUUACGUGGCUAAAUGCUGUUUUCCUGCUGAGAGCUAGCUCUCCCUUCCCCUGGGAGGGAGCCGGGGGAGAGCGUGUCACUUUGUGUACAGAGUUGUGUUGUAUUUUAGCAUAUGCCAUGGAGCCUUGCUUGCAUUUCAGAAGAUGCGGGAAUGCUUCCAGCGGUCUCCUGAUUUGAGGAGCUGGGAGAAGACAGCAGUGGCUGCAACAGAAGCAGAGGGCUGCGUGGGGGAGCAGGCAGAAUAACUGAGUCACCCCUGCAGAGCUGGCUGGGAAAAAGCUCUGCAGCCAGGAGACACUGAGAGCAGGAGAGUGAGGAAAAAUGCCCUGGCUGCCUGGAGACCAAGUCAGAAAACACAAACCAGCCUGCGGGUCUGUGCCAGCAGGAAGGCUGGAGCAACAGGAGGUUUCCCAGCACAGCUGGAGGAGCCGAGGCUUGGGGAGGGAAGUAGCUUGGCCAGUAGGCCACAGAAGAGCCAAGAACAGACCCCAAAUGCCUGAAUUCCAGCCCAGAGAAAAGCUGCUGGGGUUAUCCCGAAACAACGGGCUCCUUCCCAGGACAAAUACCUCCAGCACACACAGGACAGCUGGGAUCAGUGCUGGGACCGGCACUGCCAACAGCUUUGUCAGCGACACAGAGAGUGGGAUCAAAAGCACCCUCAGCCAGUUUGCUAACGACAUCGAGCCAUGUGCUGCCGCCAACACGCUGCGGGGGAGGGAUGCCAUCCAGAGGGACCUUGGCAGGUUUGAGAGGUGAGCCUGUGCAAACCACAUGAAGUUCAACAAGGCCAAGCGCAAGGUCCUGCAUCUGGGUUGGGGCAACCCCCAGUAUCAAUACAGGCUGGGUGGAGAAAGGAUUGACAGCAGCCCUGAGGACUUUGGAGUGUUGGUGGAUGAGAAGCUCAUGACCCAGCAAUGUGCGCUCGCAGCCCAGAAAGUCAACUGUACCCUGGGCUGCAGCACCCGCAGCGCAGCUGGUGGGUCAGUGAGGGGGCUCUGCCCCUCUGCUCCGCUCUGGUGAGACCCCCCUGCAGCGCUGCAUCCGGCUCUGGGGUCCCCA